UACGGAGGAUCCAAGCGUUAUCCGGAAUCAUUGGGUUUAAAGGGUCCGUAGGCGGACGAUUAAGUCAGGGGUGAAAGUCUGCAGCUCAACUGUAGAAUUGCCCUUGGUACUGGUUGUCUUGAAUCAUUGUGAAGUGGUUAGAAUAUGUAGUGUAGCGGUGAAAUGCAUAGAUAUGACAUAGAAUACCGAUUGCGAAGGCAGAUCACUAGCAAUGUAUUGACACUGAUGGACGAAAGCGUGGGUAGCGAACGGG
Molecule: ribosomal RNA, 253 nt
Filed under: uncultured bacterium
Lineage: Bacteria
Description: partial 16S ribosomal RNA
Rfam family: Bacterial small subunit ribosomal RNA
Source: RNAcentral